This 499-nucleotide ribosomal RNA is filed under the name uncultured bacterium. RNAcentral describes it as "partial 16S ribosomal RNA". It matches the Rfam family "Bacterial small subunit ribosomal RNA", at positions 28 to 507 of the family's 1533-position model. The record is from RNAcentral.
GAUGAACGCUGGCGGCGUGCCUAAUACAUGCAAGUCGAGCGAACAGACGAGAGUGCUUGCACUCUCUGACGUUAGCGGCGGACGGGUGAGUAACACGUGGGUAACCUACCUAUAAGACUGGGAUAACUUCGGGAAACCGGAGCUAAUACCGGAUAAUAUUUAGCUUCGCAUGAAGCAAUAGUGAAAGACGGUUCUGCUGUCACUUAUAGAUGGACCCGCGGUGUAUUAGCUAGUUGGUGAGGUAACGGCUCACCUAGGCAACGAUACAUAGCCGACCUGAGAGGGUGAUCGGCCACACUGGGACUGAGACACGGCCCAGACUCCUACGGGAGGCAGCAGUAGGGAAUCUUCCGCAAUGGACGAAAGUCUGACGGAGCAAUGCCGCGUGAGUGAAGAAGGUUUUCGGAUCGUAAAACUCUGUUGUAAGGGAAGAACAAGUACGUUAGUAACUGAACGUACCUUGACGGUACCUUACCAGAAAGCCACGGCUAACUACGUG